AUGCCAGAUCCUAAUAGAACAUACGCUCUGCAAUGCAUUUUCUGUGACAAGAUAUUAACUAGCGGCGUAACAAGGGUAAAGUAUCACCUUGCUGGCAUUAAGAAGUGCAUUGCUACACCAUGCCAGAAGGUUCCUCAGGAUGUGAAGGAGGAGAUGAAGGUUUUGCUCCUAAAGAGUAAUGAUGCGAAGGAUAAGAAAAUCACAGAAUUGGAAAAGAUAAGAAGUUCAGUUAACUUAGAUCACUCGGAGGGAGAAGAGGAGAGUGAUGACGACAGUGACAAUGAUAUUGUGUUGUCAACACAAAGCAGAAGCAGAUCCCAAGGUGGCCCUAUGGACAAGUUCUGCAUGUCAAGUGUAGAAGAAUGUGUCAAGAGGAAUCAAGGGCAAACUCUUAGCAUAAAGGUUCAAUCAAAGUUGUCAUCUCAGAAGACAGAAGAGAGGAAGAAUAGAGCUUGUGGGUACAUCUGUCAGUUUUUCUAUGAAGCUGGCAUUCCACACAACACUGUGACACUUCCUAGCUUUGCGAGUAUGCUUGUGGCCAUUGGACGUUUUGGCAAGGACCUUCAAGGACCUAGUGCCUAUGAGAUGAGUGGCCCAUUCCUGCAGAAAAUAAAGAAGAAGGUGCUUGACUCAUUCAAGAACCAUAAGAAAGCAUGGGAGCAGACAGGUUGUACGGUAAUGACCGAUGCAUAUACAGAUAAGAAAGUCAGAGGAGUAAUGAACCUAGUUGUUCACAGCGCACAUGGGGUCUUAUUUACGGAUUCGGUUGAUUGCUCGGAUGUCAAAAAAUGGGAAAUACAUCUAUGA
RNAcentral lists this ribosomal RNA (807 nucleotides) under Triticum aestivum (bread wheat). Its description in RNAcentral is "partial small subunit ribosomal RNA". Lineage: Eukaryota; Viridiplantae; Streptophyta; Magnoliopsida; Poales; Poaceae. The record is from RNAcentral.